GACGAACGCUGGCGGCGUGCUUAACACAUGCAAGUCGAACGGAAAGGCCCCCUUGGGGGUCCUCGAGUGGCGAACGCGUGAGUAACACGCGAGUAACCUGCCCUUGACUUCGGGAUAACUUCCGGAAACUGGGGCUAAUACCGGAUAGGAAUCCUUGCUGCAUGGUGGGGGUUGGAAAGCUUCGGCGGUUUUGGAUGGACUCGCGGCUUAUCAGCUUGUUGGUGGGGUAGUGGCUUACCAAGGCUUUGACGGGUAGCCGGCCUGAGAGGGCGACCGGCCACAUUGGGACUGGGAUACGGACCAGACUCCUACGGGAGGCAGCAGUGGGGAAUAUUGCACGAUGGGCGGAAGCCUGAUGCAGCAACGCCGCGUGCGGGAUGACGGCCUUCGGGUUGUAAACCGCUUUCAGCAGGGGCGAAGCUUUUGUGACGGUACCUGCAGAAGAAGCACCGGCUAACUACGUG
This 464-nucleotide ribosomal RNA is filed under the name uncultured bacterium. RNAcentral's name for it is "partial 16S ribosomal RNA". It matches the Rfam family "Bacterial small subunit ribosomal RNA", at positions 28 to 507 of the family's 1533-position model. The record is from RNAcentral.